Molecule: long non-coding RNA, 490 nt
Organism: Rattus norvegicus (Norway rat)
Lineage: Eukaryota; Metazoa; Chordata; Mammalia; Rodentia; Muridae
Source: RefSeq, a predicted model, not a curated record
ACAGAUGUCUGAAGAUGAUGGUUGACUCCAAAAUUCCAAUGGUCUCUACUAUUACCUGCCCUGUGGCCUGCCAAAGUCUCCAAACAGCAACUCUAUUUGCCACUAAUACCUCAAGCACCAUGGUGUCUACUGAAUGAUAGGAACCAAAUGCACAGCAGCCGGGACCUGUUGAACAGCUUUCUUCCUUCUGUUUCUGACGCCACUCAAAACUAGCAGCUUUCUAAGGCACCGGAACCUACUCUUCUAGCACAUAUUGAAGACCGACUAAGGCAUCCUGUCUUGUGGUACUGAGCAGAUCCUAGAUUCUUGGACUUCCUGCUCACAGCCAGCCAUUGUUGAAUUUUCUAGACUGCAGCCUAGGAAUUUCAAGAUUGGCUGGUUAACAGGACUCUCGCUGGCAGCUGAAGGGAAGACAUCACAGGCUGGAGAUGUUUGGGAAAGGAACACACUAUCAUGGAGUUUGUCCUAUGACUCGACGGGAAGGGAACAG